Molecule: non-coding RNA, 3186 nt
Organism: Benincasa hispida (wax gourd)
Lineage: Eukaryota; Viridiplantae; Streptophyta; Magnoliopsida; Cucurbitales; Cucurbitaceae
Source: RefSeq, a predicted model, not a curated record
AUCGAGUACAAAAAAAAUGCAGCACGUCUUAUUCGAUGGAAUUGAAAUUUUUGGAUGCUCUCUCUCGCUCUCCUUUCUAACUGAAUGCUAAUCGAUGGAAUUGAAGAUUUUGGAUGCAAAAUUACUUUCACAGUUCCACCGUAUCAUCCAAAUGAAUGCCGUCUCCUUUGCGAUUUCACAUCCUUCUAGCUUGAGAAAUUGAAAUUGCAGAAGUCGCUGAAAGCUCGUUAUUUUCCCGGAAAUAUAAGGAAGAAAACAGGUAGUCCUUUGAUGGCUUGACUCUUGGUUAUUUCUGCCUUCGUUGUAAUUUGGAUUGCUUCAUUAUGCAAAAUUUUUCACACAUCAGUUUCAUCUUCUAGGAGUGCUUUCUUAAAUGGUCUUCUUCUCCAACAAUAAACUUCCUCACAUCAAGGGGGCAUAAACUUCAUAUUUUGUGCAUGUCAAUUGGUAAUGCAGAUGGCAUGGGAACCAUGAGAAGAGGCUAUACAAAACUUCCACAGUUCUUAAGGUGUUUGAGCCUAAAACAAAAAGAAGUUUUUGCAUAAAUAUCUGGUUUCCCUCAAUCAAGUGAAGAUCCUGGACCAUUCAGAUUUGCAUGUGUGACUUUAAAAAGUGUCUGGCUGAGUUUGAUUAUGUCAUGUGAAAACUGUAAUCCAAUAUAAUGAUGCUUUCAUGAUGGUUUUGGCAAAGUGUGGGAUCAUAAAUUUCUGGCAGAGGUUAUCGAACACGAAAUAUCAAGCCAUGGGAUUGACUUGGUAAUAUCUUGGAUCUAUUAAACUGGUUACUGAUGCAAUGUUGAAAUCAUACCUACACUCACUUUUGGUUAUCUAUAACUUUUUUGGUUUCUAUCUGACAUGUCUUACUCUUACAUUAUGUUCUUUCCCCCUUUAUAGACUUUUAACAGAUUAUUACUUUCAUAGUAUGGAGUUUCCGGUCACUGUAAUCAUUGUGAUGUGCACAACAGGGUGCGGUAAGCUGGCUUCUAAACUUAUAUUACUUUCAUUCUUCUUACUGCCUCCUUCAACAUUUCUUGUUUUCUCAAAAUCUACUUCCUGAGAUGUAAAUUGCCUCCAUUGUAGCUGGGCUUUCAAGGAAGCAACAUUUAUUGUUGAAAUCUUGUAAUUUAAAUGUUUAUGUUGGUCAAACAAUUUAUCUACACCCAUUUGUAAACAAAAAUUAAUGUCAUGAGGCUCUUGCUCGAGUAGUGAGUACUACAAUAAGGAAUAAUUCAUUACAAGUAAUGAUAUAUAUUUAAAAAUUGAUUGAGUUGUAGACGUCUAUACUGUUUCUUCCGUUCUAUUUAUUAUUGUAUAUCUAUUAUUAAUUAAAAGAGAAUUCUUACUAUGCGCUGUGGUUUAAUCAAUGAUGCAUUGCUUCUCCACUCCAAUAAAAAAAAUCUUUUACCUUUUUGCCAAUGCUGUUAACAGAGGUUUGUUACAGUAAGUUUUCCUUUUUGACACAUGUGAUUCUCAUUUAAUCACGUUUCUAUGAUGGUUAACUCGUGAUAUAUGAUCCCUCACUUGCAGAAUUCCUGUUCUUCCUAAGUUGAGUUUCCAUUAGUGAAUGCUUUGAAGUUUACGGUUCUAUAAUUCUUCAUAUAUUUUAAUUCUUAAUAGCAGAGAAAAUAUCUUUAAAGGACGCUUGAGUAAUUCUUUCUUUUUCUGUGUUGAGGCUGCUGAAUGAGAUGGGAGCCAAGUUAUGGCUCAACGAGUUAUUAAAAUUGCUUAAACUCAUAAAUGACUUUAGGCUUGUUGAUAUGACAUGUUAAGUGAAUUUAACUUGCAAGCUAAGAAGCACGGACACUUUAGUUUGGUUAGCAUGUCAGUGUCCGACACUUGGGGACACUCCGACAUUUGUUGGACACGUAUCGGAUACUUGUUAGUACAACAAAUGUGUUAGACAUGCAUAUAGAUUAAAAGGACACAUACAUUACAAUAAUAAUAAAUUUUGAGUGCGAAAUACAUAAAACUAAGUUUUUUUUAAAAUAUAUAAAUGCAUCGACCUAUUUACUUUUAAAUUUCUUUUGGUAUAAAAAUGAUAUAUAUUUUUUAAAAUACAUUUGCCGUGUCGUUUCCUAGAUUUUUAAAAUAAUGUAUCGCCGUGUCCGUGACGUGUUGUAUCCAUAUCUCGUAACCGUGUUUAAGUUACCAUCUGUCCUGUAAGAUUUGUUCAGCGUACAAAAUUCAAAACCUCUCCUUUCCUGUGCCCAAUGAUUUUUCUACUGGGUUAAAAAGAAAGCCUCUCUAUUUUUUAUUGACAUCUCACACAAAAGUAAACCUGAGCAUUUUCAGGUCAAUUGUAUCCAAGCGACAUUCUCGUAAUCAACUUUUGAGUUUCCUUUCCAAGAGUUUAUGUUUACUUUUCUCUGGUUAUUCUUGGGUCAGUACCAAUAUACUGCGGAAGUAUAGUGGUCCAUUUGAUAUCUGGUUAUCUAUUUUGUUUUACGAAGAGCACACAAGUGGAAUGAUGCAUUGCUUGUUAAAUGAAUGCCCACAACAAAGCUUCCUUGCAAUGGCACAGCACGCAAGCCAAUGGGUUUGGUAUGUUUGUUUUGUGAAUUUUAUUCGAGUCAGAUUAGAAUAUGAACUCUAUUAUCAUAGUUGAGCAUUAUUCGAGAGCUUCCCAUGUUAUACUUAUUUCAUUCUCCCAUUCCCAUUUCAUUCAUAAGGAAAUCUAGCUUUGGUUGGCUGGAAAACACCUUUACCUGUUGCUUUGAUUGCCCUUCUCUUUGAUUUGGCAGGUUUUGGAAAACUCUUUGUUACUUCUUCCAGUUAUACCUUUGUCAACACACUAAAAAGAAUCAACUAGCCAUGCUGUUAUAAUGCCAUAUGAUGUUACAGUAUCCUCCGAUAUCUACUUCACGGGAACUGUGGACUCGGAUUUCUUCAUUUCAUAUGAGGUGGAGACGAAGGGGUUAUUCAUUUGAGACGCAACCGAAGGAGUAAGAGAUGAAGAAAAAGAGAGAGAAAAGAGGGCGUUUCUCAUUACAUUGUAGAACGUUAUGAGUAACCGAUGAAGCAAUUUGAACACUUUGAAUUAACGCUCAUAGCACCUUAUGGAUUCAUAUUUUCUUCAGUACAACCCUCGUAGAGAUGAGGUAUCGAAUCUUCGAGUCGAAGAUCAUGUCCAUUACGACUAAGCUGAUCUCACUUUGGUCUAUGACAUUCAAUAAUUUAGAUCGUAUCC